ACAUUCCUCCAAGUUAAAUUUAAUGUUUUUUAUAUUUAAAAUAUUUAUCAGAUCUGUAGGUUGUCAGAUCUAGAAUAGCCUCCAAUUUUAAAGACAAUAAGGUUAUGAAUGUAAUGUAAGAAUCACCAGGAACAUUAUUGAAAUUACUUUUCUUCAUGUUGCUGGUGAAUGUUGCAGCUGAUCCUACUCCUACUCUAGGCUACGGAAGGUAAAGUUGUCAUCUCAUCUUAGUGAUGUUCCUUGGAUUUACAGCAUUCAGGAUUCUCAUGUUUACCUUUAUCUUCACACUUUGCUUUGCUUUUUCAUCCAAUAGAAACAUCAUGAAAAAUUAAGAAGAAAGCAAGCAUUUGGAAGUUGUAUUAAUUUAACGUUGUCUCAGGGACUAGGCAGCCCCGAGUUUCAAUCAGAAAAUCUCCAAGUGCACAUGACUAAGCCUGCAAGUGCGUCUGCAGCGGAGCGCUGCGCACGGAAUUGGAACGGGAGCACUCGGCUGUUUGGUGUCACUUGAGACCUGGAUCUCAUCUGUGUGGGAACGAGGCGGUGGCUGUGGCAGAGAGACAGGCUGUGUGCUGGAAAACAAAGAGAGAAUUCUGGCUGGCUGGGCUGGUGUGAAGAAUCGCUGCCGUGGGGCUGAGCUGAAGGUGUGCGAGGAGAAGGAAACAGGAGCAGAGCGAGAAGCCAGCUGUGAACAGCACCGCUCGCUUCUGCUACUGAGCGAGCUCUUCUAGAAAAUGUCAAAGAACAUCCUCAUCAUCUAAAGCCAUUUUUAAAAUGAUUGCUAAUAUGGCUCAAUUAUGUUUUCUUUCCCUGCACCCAUGUGUUUAAAUGUGAAAGAAAAUGGUGAGAGUGACUGCUAAAGAUGCUUGAUAGUGCAUAUUUGCUUGGAAGUAUAUUUUCAUAUCAAGCAAAUGUCAGUGCAAACACCUGCAAUUUGCAUUGCUUCUAACUGUAAGAAACAAACGUAAGUUGGUUCACCACCACCACAACUCUGAAUAAAGCUCCUGCUGCUCUGUGGCUGGUACUAGGU
This 1027-nucleotide long non-coding RNA is filed under the name Cyanistes caeruleus (blue tit). RNAcentral describes it as "lncRNA (ENSCCEG00000004394.1)". The record is from RNAcentral. Lineage: Eukaryota; Metazoa; Chordata; Aves; Passeriformes; Paridae.